RNAcentral lists this ribosomal RNA (495 nucleotides) under uncultured bacterium. Its description in RNAcentral is "partial 16S ribosomal RNA". It matches the Rfam family "Bacterial small subunit ribosomal RNA", at positions 29 to 506 of the family's 1533-position model. The record is from RNAcentral.
AUGAACGCUGGCGGCGUGCCUAAUACAUGCAAGUCGAGCGAACAGACGAGGAGCUUGCUCCUCUGACGUUAGCGGCGGACGGGUGAGUAACACGUGGAUAACCUACCUAUAAGACUGGGAUAACUUCGGGAAACCGGAGCUAAUACUGGAUAAUAUAUUGAACCGCAUGGUUCAAUAGUGAAAGACGGUUUUGCUGUCACUUAUAGAUGGAUCCGCGCCGCAUUAGCUAGUUGGUAAGGUAACGGCUUACCAAGGCAACGAUGCGUAGCCGACCUGAGAGGGGGAUCGGCCACGCUGGAACUGAGACACGGUCCAGACUCCUACGGGAGGCAGCAGUAGGGAAUCUUCCGCAAUGGGCGAAAGCCUGACGGAGCAACGCCGCGUGAGUGAUGAAGGUCUUCGGAUCGUAAAACUCUGUUAUUGGGGAAGAACAAAUGUGUAAGUAACUAUGCACGUCUUGACGGUACCUAAUCAGAAAGCCACGGCUAACUACGU